AGUCUGGGUGGACAGCUUCGCCGGAGCUGAGAGCCCGCGACCUGCCGGACCAGGGCUGGGCCGCGGGUCAAUGAUCCAGGAAAUCCCGUCACUCGCGUGCCUGUGGCUGAAGCGCGGCAGCUUGUCUUGUCCGUUUCGUGUCAGUUUCAGGGCUGAGUGGCAGCGUCUGGACUUUGCGGACGCCGAGGGCUCAGAUGCUGGGCUCUGGGGAGGGAGAGGGCGCCGGCCGGCCUGUCCCUCUCCGGGGAUUUGCAGGUACCACCUGUCGGCUUUGUUUCAUCAUCAGGAGCCCCUUUGCCCAGAAAUCCCGAUCGUCUACACCCAGGUCUCUACUGAUCAGAGAUUGAGAGUGAGUCAACAGGAGUCCAACACGUGACCCCCAUAAGUCUACCCUCUUUUCCCCCAAUACUUGUAGAUACCACCCAGUAACACCCGUGUGUGCUAAAAAUCCUAUUCUGGGAGUUCUUCGGCAGUUUAAAUCGCCCAUGAAUUACUCAUAUUUUCUCAAUCCACCGUGAGCCUGGCACAUUUCUUUUCAGUAAUUGAUUGGGAAAGUGCAAGCCAUUGGUGACCUUUAGAAGUUUUAAAUGUUUAUAACGAAAGGGCUAAGGACAGAGGAGAUUACCCACACUUAAGUAUUUUGCACCUUAAAAAUGCUAGCAAAAAUAUGAAUUUAUAUUCCUUCAGGGAGAAGAUUUCGUCUGAGGACGUAGGCCGAACCUUGUGUUUUAUAUGUCAUAUGAAUUACGCUCUGAAACUAAAAUAUGAAAUAGAUUCCAUAAUUAAGCCCUUUGGAAUAUCAGCCUCAUCUGAAUUAUUUCUAAGGAUAUUUUUGCCUUUUUUGGUUUAUUAAAAACUUCCUUUUGGGGAAACUUGUAUAGAUUUUCUGCACUUAGGCAAAAUAAAGCAUUUUAUUCAAAAUAUUUCUUAGGGUUUUCCUAGAACUUACUCUUCUUUCUUCCUGUAAAGACAAACCUAGGAAAUUGUUCAGAAAAAGGCCCAAGGUGAUUUCCUCAUAACCUAUAGUGAUUAGUGAGAAAAAGUUUGGAUAUUGGGGAUUUCGGGGUUGAUUUGAUAAUUUCAGGAAAAUGAAGAAAACCUCAAAUUUAAGAUAUUAAAAUGUUUAAAAAUUGUCCUAGAGAAAACGAUGGUACUAAAAGCUUAAAAAUUUCUAAAGAUUAAGAGAGCUGACAGUGAUUUAAAAAAUACAUUUAAUCUAGGAAAAGCAGUAGAUUAAGAAAGAUAUUAGGAAUGUUGUCAAAUGCUGUCUUUUAAAGGUGGAUAAUUGCUUUAGUGACACUUAUACUUUUGGGAUUUUUGUCUUAUGAUUAAGGUGGCAAUUACAUAAUAGUCAUCAUUCUAGAUUGUAUAAAUUAUACUUUUUACAUUAUUUCAUUAUAUUAUAUUACUGGUAUCUUUUUCUUUAGAAUUGAUAGAAUGCAUCAGCUUUUAAUCUCCCUUUGUAAUAGUUAUUUAACCUAAGGGAGAUCAGAAUAUGCCAUGCCAAAAUGUGACACUUUGUCAUCAGGAUUAUUUUGAGCUGAAGGUAAUUGAGAAUGAACAUAUAGAAAGAAACUUUCUCAGAGCUUCCCUUAUCUGACUAAAAGCAGUGACUUCUGAGAAAGGAGGCUGCUAUAAAUUCCCCUUUUGGGUUAGGUCUACUCAUAAAUGCAUUCAUCAGGGAAGUUUUAUGGCCCUGAAGGAGACCACCCAUACCUGUCUAGACAGUCUCACAAACUUUCUUAUCUCCUGUUUCUUCUCCUGAAAACUCCUAUUUGUCUUUCCUCAGGAAACCCAUUUUUUCCCCCAUAAUAGCCUUUCUCUCCCCUCUUUUUCCUCAACUAAGUUAGGUAUAUAAGCCCCAAAUGCGAACCACCCCUUUGAGUUGCUCAUCACUGAGCACUCCUGUGUGUAUGUGUAUUACACACAUAAACUGCUUUUUUCCUUUUGUCAAAGGUACCUGUCUUUUGCAGCUUAAUUUGCAAGCCCCUAGUUAUUGAACAUGAGAGUGUAGAGGAAAAGCAUUUUCCCUUCCCUACAGGCCUAAAGGAAACUACAUGAAAUAUUAAAACAAGUACUGAUUAAAGGCCGGGCGCGGUGCCUCAAGCCUGUAAUCCCAGCACUUUGGGAGGCCGAGGCGGGCGGAUCACGAGGUCAGGAGAUCGAGACCAUCCUGGCUAACACGGUGAAACCCCAUCUCUACUAAAAAUACAAAAAAAUUAGCCAGGCGUGGUGGCGGACGCCUGUAGUCCCAGCUACUUGGGAGGCUGAGGCAGGAGAAUGGUGUGAACCCGGGAGGGGGAGCUUGCAGUGAGCCGAGAUGGCGCCACUGAACUCCAGCCUGGGCGACAGAGCGAGACUUUGUCUCAAAGAAAAAAAAAAAAAAAAAAAGAACAAGUACUGAUUAAAAAGGUUAAGGGGUUAUGUGAGGGGAGGGGAGUUUUGUGGCCCAGGCUGGUCUCGAACUCCUGAGUUCAAGGGAUCUGUCCGCCUCCGCCUCCCAAAAGUGCCGGGAUUACAGGCAUGGGCUACCGUGCCCUGCCUCUUUACUGUUUUAUUGGGAUGUACCUCCAUGGAUCUUCACUAGUAUUAUAUCAUUUCAUCCUCAAAACAGCUCUAUCAGGUAGUUAAAUCAGAUAACGUAAAUAUCUUCCCAGUUUAUGCCUAUUAUGGGCAUGGUGGCUCACACCUAUCAUUCCAGCACUUUGGGAGACCAAGGUGGGAGAAUCACUUGCGGCUAGGAGUUGGAGACCAGCCUGGGCAACAUAGGGAGAUACCCCCAUCUCUAAAAAAAUAAUAAACAAUAUUAGCUGAACGUGUUGGUGCAUGUCUGUGUGUGCCUAUGGCUUCAGCUACUUGGGAGGCUGAGGUGGGAGGAUGCCUGAGCCGGGAGGUCGAGGCUGUGUCAGUCAUGAUUGCACCACUGCAUGCCAGCCUGGGUGACAGAGCAAGAACGCUGUCUCAAAAAUAAAAAAUAAAAAAGCAAAAGAAAUAUCUUCCUCUAGGACCACAGCUGUAAAGAGCAGAGCAGUUUCCCUCUCAGCUUAAAAGGCUAAACGCUGAUGUGCUUGCACGCUAGUGCUUGGCCCAUGCAUCUUUCUCUACCUCAGAGAUAUUAUUGUAGGGGUCAAAGGUACCUAAUCUAAUGCCUGGGAUAUAGUACCUAUGCUCACUAAGGUUCAUUUGAAUUUAUUUAUUUUAAUUAAUUAAUUAAUUAAUUAACUUUUUGAGAUGGAGUCUCGCUCUGUCGCCUAGCUUGGAGUGCAGUGGCGUAAUCUCAGCCCACUGCAACCUCUGCCUCCCAGGUUCAAGCAAUUCUCCUACCUCAGCCUCCCAAGUAGCUGGGAUUGCAGGCAUGUGCCAACAUGGCUGGCUAAUUUUUUUUUUUUUCCUGAGACAGUGUCUUGCUCUGUCGCCCAGGUUGGAGUACAGUGGCACAAUCUUGGCUCACUGCAAGUUCCGACUCCCGGGUUCACACCAUUCUUUUGCCUCAGCCUCCUGAGUAGCUGGGACUACAGGCACCCGCCACAAUGCCCGGCUAAUAUUUUGUAUUUUUAGUAGAGACAAGGUUUCACCCUGUUAGCCAGGAUGGUCUUGAUCUUCUGACCUCGUGAUCCACCUGUCUCAGCCUCCCAAAGUGCUGGGAUUACAGGCGUGAGCCACUGUGCCCACCUGACUAAUUUUUGUAUUUUUAGUAGAAACGGGGUUUCACUCUGUUAACCAGGAUGGUCUUGAUCUCCUGACCUCGUGAUCCACCUGCCUUGGCCUCCCAAAGUGCUGGGAUUACAGGCAUGAGCCACUGGGCUCACCUGGCUAAUUUUUGUAUUUUUAGUAGAAACGGGGUUUCACCAUGUUGGCCAGGCUGGUCUCGAACCCCUGACCUCAGGUGAUCCACCCAGCUCAGCCUCUGAAAGUGCUGGGAUCACAGGCAUGAGCCACCGUGCCCAGCACAUUUGAACUUAUUAAGUAAUGACCAUUGAAUUUUAUUUUUCUGAGUUUUAGUUGUUUUGUUUGUUUGUUUGUUUGUUUGAGAAGGAGUCUGGCUGUGUUGCCCAGGCUGCAGUGCACUGGCGGGAUCUUGGCUCACUGCAACUUCUGCCUCCCAGGUUCAAGUGAUUGUCCUGCCUCAGACUCUCGAGUAGCUGGGAUUACAGGUGCCCGCCACUACGGCCAGCUAAUUUUUUCGUAUUUUUAGUAGAGAUGAUGUUUCACCAUGUUGGCCAGGCUGGUCUCGAACUCCUGACUUCGUGAUUCGCCCACCUCGUCCUUCCAAAGUGCUGGGAUUACAGUCGUGAGCUGCAGCGCCUGGCCUGAGUUUUAGUUUUAAAACUGACCAACACUACAUUUGUGUCCUCUUUUCAACUCCUGUUAUCCAAAGCAUUUAUGCUAUAAGUAAUACCUUCUUUUUCUUUUGGCUAUUUAGUUGAAUAUAACCAGCUUUGUUCACACAGGUAGAGAAAGACCUACAGUCAGCCCUCUGUUUCCGUAUUCGUGGGUUCUGCAUUCAUGGAUUCUUUUUUAUUAUUAUUUUGAGACAGAGUCUUGCUCUGUCCCCCCAGGCUGGAGUGCAGUGGUGUGAUCAUGGCUUACUGCAGCCUUGACCUCCUGGGCUGCAGCAAUCCUCCCACCUCAGCCUCCUGAGAAGCUGGGACUACAGGCACAUGCCACCAUGCCCAGCUUGCUUAUUUAUUUAUUUAUUUAGAGACGGAGUCUUGCUCUGUUGCCCAGGCUGGAGUGCAGUGGCACCAUCUCGGCUCACUGCAAGCUCCGCCUCCCAGGUUCAUGCCAUUCUCCUGCCUCAGCCUCCCAAGUAGUUGGGACUACAGGUGCACGCCACCGCGCCUGGCUAAGUUUUUGUAUUUUUAGUAGAGACGGGGUUUCACCGUGUUAGCCAGGAUGGUCUUGAUCUCCUGACCUCGUGAUCCGCCCGCCUCGGCCUCCCAAAGUGCUGGGAUUACAGGUGUGAGCCACUGUGCCCAGCCUAAUUUUUUUUUUUUUUAAAGAGACAUGAGUUUCCCUGUGUUGCCCAGGCUGGUCUCAAAUUCCUGGGCUCAAGGGAUCCUCCUGCCUCAGCCUCCCAAAGUGCUGAGAUUACAGGCAUGAGCCGCUGUUCUGGGCCAUUCGUGGGUUGUCCAUCCGUGGAUUCAACCAAAUGCCCAUCAAAAAUAUUUGGAAAAAAUAUUUUCCAAAUGUUUACAAUAUUUACAUUGUAUUAGGUAUUAUAAGUAAUCUAGAGAUGAUUUAAUGUAUACAGGAAGAUGUGCAUAGGUUAUAUGCAAAUAUUACACCAAUUUAUAUAAAGGACUUGAACAUCCAUGGGUUUUGGUGUCUGAGAGGGUCCUGGAACCAAUCCCUUGAAGAUACAGAGGAAUAACUGUAUUGUAUUGGCCAGGUGGGUCACAUGUAGGAAUGAGACAACUCAGGUGUGUACACAUAGUGGCGCUGGGAAGAAGGCAGCCUGUUUCGGCCCUGCUGUGGCUGUUCUGCCUCUGGCGCCAUCUUUCACACCAAUGCAUGGUGGCUGCAAUUUAAAUCCGAUGUGGAAAAUUCAAGUAGGUAAUAAGAGCCAAGUGGUGCCGAAGGUUGGCCCUUGUAGGCCUGGAGGGCCUCAGGCUCAGUGUUGGCUCAGUGUUUAUUGUCUGCCCUUCUGUUGCUGGGCAUCCCAGGGCCCACAUGCCAGGGUACACAGGCAUUCUGAAAAAGGUGCAAUUGCUGUUUCUGAUUAGAAGAGCAAUAUAUGAUUAUCGAUAAAAUUUGAACAUGCAGAAAAAUAGCAAGAGGAAAAUAAAAAUUACUUGAUACGCUCAUUACUCAGAGUAGUUAUUUUCUUCCAGUUCAUUGUCUUUGCAUUUUUCUUUAGUUGCAGUCACACUUAAUAAAAUUUUCUUACUUUGUUACAUUUGCUUGAAAUAUAUAUAAGUUAGCUGGGUGUGGUGGCUCACGCCUGUAAUCCCAGCACUUUGGGAGGCUGAGGCGGGUGGAUCACCUGAGGUCAGGAGUUUGAGACCAGCCUGGUCAACAUGGUGAAACCCCAUCUCUACUAAAAAUACAAAAAUCAGCACGCCUGUAAUCCCAGCUACUCGGGAGGCUGAGGCAGGAGAAUCGCUUGAACCCAGGAGGUGGAGGUUGCAGUGAGAUGAGAUCAUGCCAUUGCACUCCAGCCUGGGCAACAAGAGCGAAACUCCAUCUCAAAAACAAAAAACAAAAACAAAAACAAACGUUAAAGGCCAGGCACAGUGGCUCACGCCUGUAAUCCAGCACUUUGGGAGGCCGAGCUGAGUGGAUCACUUGAGGUCAGGAGUUCCAGACCAGCCUGGCCAACAUGGUGAAACCCUGUCUCUAUUAAAAAUACAAAAAUUAGCUGGGCGUGGUGGCGGGCACCUGUAGUCCCAGCUAUUUGGGAGGCUGAGGCAGGAGAAUUGCUUGAACCCAGGAGGCAGAGGUUACAGUAAGCCGAGAUUGUGCCAUUGCACUCCAACCUGGGUGUCAGAGCAAGACUCCAUCUCAAAAAAAAUAAAUACAUAAAGUUAAAGUGGGCACGCGUGGUGGCUCAUGCCUAUAAUGGUGGCUCACACCUGUAAUCCCAGCACUCUGAGAGGCUGUGGUGGGAGGGUUGCUUGAGUUUAGGAGGUCAAGGCCAGCCUGUGUGAGACCCUAUCUAAGUUAAAGCACUUCCCCGUACGUUUAAAAUCUCUUCAUGGGCAUCGUUUUCCUUGCUGUGGCCUGCCUGCCUUUUACUCAGUCAUACCCCCACUGGUGAACACGCCAGUGACUUCCAGUUUUCACUGUUUUACAUAAUGCCAACAUGUACAUCUGAGUUCAUGACUCUCAACUGGGUUAUUUCCUUAGUAUUUUUGGAAGUGAAAUCACCAGGUCUCAGCAUACUCUUCAGGUUAUCGUAACAUCUUGCCAAGGACUUCUCAGAAAGACUAUGAGCAUGAAUAGAGGGUUCUUGACUAGUGCCUCACCUUAGUGAGGUUUUUGGGAAUGACCAUUUUUCUUUUUUUUUUUGAGACAGUUUCGCUUUUGUUGCACAGGCUGGAGUGCAGUGGCAUGACCUUGGUUCACUGCAACCUCUGCCUCUAGGGUUCAAGUGAUUCUCCUGCCUCAGCCUCCUGAGUAGCUGGGACUACAGGCAUCUGCCACCAUGCCCAGCUACGUUUUUGUAUUUUUAGUAGAGAUUGGGUUUCACUAUGUUGGCCAGGCUGGUCUCGAACUCCCAACCUCAGGUGAUCCACCUGCCUCGGCCUCCCAAAGUGCUGGGAUUACAGGCGUGAGCCACUGUGCCCAGUCAUGACGAUUUUUCUUUUUCUUAAUCUUUGAACAUUUGAAUGGUGGCAGUGGUUUCUUGUGGCUUUAAUUUGCAUUUUUAAUUUAAUUUAAUUUAAUUUUUUGAGGCAGGGUCUCGCCCUGUCACCCAGGCUGGAGUGCAGUGGCAUGAUCACAGCUCAAUGCAGCCUCAACCUCCCGGGUUCAAGCGAUCCUUCCACCACAGUCUCCGGAGUAGCUGGGACUACAGGUGUAUGCCAGCAUGCCCAGCUCAUUUAAUUUGCAUUUGUUUGAUUUGCAGUCAGCAUGAACUUUUUCCAUGUUUACUAAACAUUUCCCCUUGAAUGCUUUCCUUAUUAUUUGCAUAUGCUCUAAUAUAUAUAUAUAUAUUUUCUUGAGAUGGAGUCUCACUCUGUCACCCAGGCUGGAGUGCGGUGGCACGAUCUCAGCUCGCUGCAACCUCCACCUCCCAGGUUCAAGCGAUUCUCAUGCCUCAGCCUCCAGAGUGGGAUUACAAGCUCGCACCACCACACCCAGCUAUUUUUUGGUAUUUUUAGUAGGGGUUUCAUCGUGUUUGUGAGGCUGGUCUCGAACUCCUGACCUCAAAUGAUCCGCCUGCCUCAGCCUCCCAAAGUGCUGAGAUUACAAGCAUGAGCCACCCGCCCCCCGCCUCUCUAAUAUAAAUUUUUGAAUAAUUAGCUGAAUCUGUAGCAUACGCUGAAAACCUUUCCCUUGUUUGUUGCUUGCCUUUAAUUGUAUGAUGUUUUAAUACAUAAACAUUUUAGUUUUUAGCAGUCACGUCAUUUACUCUAUGGUUUCUUCCAUUGUUUUUAAGUGUAGAACGUUCUUCCCAUUGAUAAUUCAGUUAAAUAUUCCCUUACCUUUUUUUUCUAGAUUUUGCUCUUAUUUUCACUUAACUGUUUAAUAAUUUAAUUUUAUUUCGAUGUGAGUGAUAAGAAACCAGCUUCUUAUCUUUCUUGCCUAGCCCUUUCCUCUUAUCUUAAUUGAGAUUUCUAAUUUCUACGGUAUUUCUUAGCUUCAAAACAUCUCCAAGUAGUGUUAAAUAUAGUUAAAUUUUACUACACUGUACGUUAUUUUCUGAGAACAAAUUAUAGUCUUUCAAGAACUAACGGGCUAAAUGACUUCAGUCAGUUCUUUUCACCUCUCUGGGCCUCAGAAUCUGUAAAAUGAGACUUGGAACAGAUCCGCUUUUCUACCAAGUAUUCCAAGGAGCACAAGUUUUUUAGGGUUGAAUGAGAAAAGAAUUUUGUGGUCAACUCUGUUUGGGAAAUUCUCAGUUAUAUUAAGUGUAAGAGGAAUUUUCUUUUCAUUUUAUUUUACAUUCAGUAUUAUCAUUUAUUCAAAAGCAAGUAUUGAAUGCCUCCUAGGCCAGGCAUUGCUAGAGGUAGAGCCCUGAGCGACAACAUAGUCCUUGUCCAUUGAGCAGGCCAUGGAUUUCAAGGAUAUUAUGAAAGAGGAAAUCUGGGACCGGGUGUGGUGGCUCACACCUGUAAUCCUAGCACUUUGGGAGGCCAAUGUGGGUGGAUCACCUGAGGUCAUGAGUUCAAGACCAGCCUGGCCAACAUGGUGAAACCUGGACUAAAAAUACAAAAAUUUUCUGGGCGUGGUGGCGGAUGCCUAUAAUCCCAGCUACUGGGGAGGCUGAGGCAGGAGAAUCACUUGAACCCAGGGGGCUGAGGUUGCAGUGAGCUGAGAUUGCACCAUUGCACUCCAGCCUGGGCAAAAAGAGCGAAACUCCAUCUCAAAAAAAAAAAAAGGAAAAUGGGAGUGCAUGGCAGGGGGCAUCCUCAAAGAAGUGCUGAGCCCCACAGGAUGAGGAGGAGUUGCCCAGGUUAUGAUCGAGAGUGGCAGAGAAAAAGAGCAAAUGCCCCUAUUGAGAGAGCGUGGAACAUUGGAGACACUGGGGAAGUCCAGCCUGAAGCCAGAUGGAUAGGGAGCUCAGAGGCCUUUUUAGGGAUUUUGAACUUUAUUCUCAGGGAGACAUGAAACUAUUGAAGAUUUUCAUCAGGGGAGUGAUAUAUCUGUUUUUCUGGGAGCUUCUGGCUGCUUUGUAGAGAAGAGGGAGAGGGAGGCAGAACCAUUAGGAGGCCCAAGGUGUUUUAGGGGAGAGACGUCAUGCUGGCAGUUCUGAGUAAUGGAGUGAAAAUGGGGCAAAAGUGGACAGAUUUCAGAACAGUUUUGGAGAUGUAAUUGCAAGAAGUAAGAGAAAGCUAAAAAUCAGAAACGACUCCCAGAUUUCUGGCUUGUGCCAUUGGGUGGAUACCAUUUCCUGGAGUAUGGAAAAAGUGAUAUUGACAUGGAGACUAUGAGGUGGAGGGCGGGAUGUGUGGAGACCGAUGAGCUCUCUUUUGGAGCUGAUAUUGUGAAUCCCUAAAACAAAUACUAUGUAGCAUCUGUCCCGUUUAUUUGACCCAUAUGCAUUUCUGUUUUUCAGACAAUCUCUUGGGGCCAGGGUUCCAUGGAACACAUGUUGGUAAAGGCUAGUUUAGCUACUCUCAGGGGUCCUUCCCAGCUCAAAUAUUCUCUUUUCCCACAAUGCUAAUGAGAACCAGAAAGUGAACUGCAUUGGCUGAUGUUUUAAAUAAACUUUUUAAUUGAAUUGUGAAAAAGAUGUAGAAGAUGCUCACCUCCUAAGUGCAGAGCUUGAUGAAUUUUUACAUAGUGUGCAUACCCGUGUAACCACUGCCUAGAGCAAGACAGCAUACAUUAUUGCAGAUGCCUCCCAGAGUGCUUGAUUUUUAAGUAUGAAAAGCUUUGGAGGAGUGGGCCAUUUGGCUGAACCAUCACUUCCAUUCUGUCUUCCAGGACAAGUUUGAGGAUACAGUGGUACAGAGCAGCUCAGACUCUGAGUGCAGCAGGAGUCUGGUGCACUUGGCCUCUUUUUCUUGGAAAGGGCAUUAAAAACUAAUGGAUGAAGUGAAGGAUGUUCAUCCGGAGUUGGCCUCACCUGCCAAGUGGCCUUUGUGUGAAGAUCUCAGGAAGGAAGGGAAGGCCCCUCAUCCAUUUGUCAAAUAAGCCCCAGCAACCCUUGUUGCCUGAGGUUAACAAUGACACAGUUUAGGGUCGACAGAUAUUGAUAGGGUUAAUGAGUGAAUGACUACCAGAAUCUCUGCUUCCUGCCCAGGUUCUAGUCUGCAGAUGCCAAUGCCUCUGAGAAAGCAGCGUUCACUGGCAGCUCAGUAUCAAACUCCAAAUGAGAGAGUAAACGAACACAUGAAUGAAUUCAUUUCCUGGACCGAAACGUUCCUCCCCUACCUCUUUCUCUGAUGACUCUUCUAUCUGCCUGGCCCUAAUUUAAUUGUCUCCCCACUCCAAGAAGCUAUCCCUGAGCCCAGAUGGUGUCAGGUCCUCUCCUCAUAUACUCUCCCAGCACCUUAUACUUCCUAAUGCUUGCACCACUGCUGUUAACAACGGUUCGCUGCCCUAUGCGCACAGAAGCCAACAGCUAGGCAGGAAAGACAUUUUUUUUUGUUUUGUUUUUGUUUUAAUUAAUUAAUUUUUUUUUUUUUUAGACGGAGUUUCACUCUUGUCGCCCAGGCUGAAGUGCAGUAGAGCGAUCUCGGCUCACUGCAACCUUUGCCUCCCAGGUUCAAGAGAUUCUCCUGCCUCAGCCUCCUGAAUAGCUGAGAUUACAGGCAUGUGCCACCACACCCAGCUGAUUUUUGUAUUUUUAGUAGAGGAGGAGUUUCUCCAUGUUGGCCGGGCUGAUCUGGAACUCCUGACCUCAGGUGAUCCACUCGCCUCGGCCUUCCAAAGUGCUGGGAUUACAGGCAUGAGCCACUGCGCCCGGCUGGCUUUUUUUUUUUUUUUUUUUUUUUUUUUGAGAUGGGGGUCUCACUAUAUUGACCAAGCUGGUCUCCAACUUCUUGCCUCAAGCGAUCCUCCCAUCUUGGCCUCCCAGAGUGCUGGGAUUACAGGCGUGAGGCACGGUGCCUGGCUGAGACAGGAAAGGCUUUAUUGCAAAACCUGCCAGCAAGGAGAUGGGAAUUGGGCUUAAAUCUGUCUCCCUGACUUGGGGUCUGGGGCAAGUUUAUGGGCUCGGAGGGAGAGGGAAAGGAUUUGGGAAUGUUGGCUGGACAGGGUCCAAUUGGAAGGCUUCAAAUUUGGCCAUUUAUGGUAAGGUAUGUGGAGGCCAAUUUUAGUCCCGGAUCUUCCGGCCACUGGACCCCUCGCUUCUGGAAGAGUUCCGGAGUUCGGGUUCCGGUCAUGUCUCAGUCUUCUUGGUUCCGAAACGAGGAAUCGUAGGUUCCGGGUGUUGUUAGAGGGUCCAGCGUUUUCUAUUGCGCCUGCCUGGGCUCCAUGACGUGAGAGCUUUUUGGCUGUGUUGUACCUUCAAGGUAACUGACCAUUUUGUUAUCAACAGAGUAGGCCCAGUGUGGGCUGGUCUCAAGGUAACACAACCGUCAGCAAAUAGAAGGCCCCUAGAGGUUGUCCCAUGCCUGAGAGGAGGCCUAAUGAGGAAGCCGCCCAGAGCAGGGCCACUGACCUUGGACUUCCCGGGCUCAGGUCUUGGCUUCCUCUGUUGCUCACCAGCUUGUGCCUUUAGGCAGGUUACUUACUUUCUCUGUGCCUCGGUUCCUUUGUCAGCUGAAUGAGGGCGAGUACAGUACCUACCUGAGUCAUGCCAUGGAUAUUAAAGGAGAGGAUAUUUAUGAACAGUGCUCAGUGCAGUGUCUGGGGCAUGGGAGGUGCUCAAAAAACACUUGCUGUGUGAGUGAACGUUGAGUUACUGUUAGACUGAGGGGAGGUGGAAGGUCCUAUGGGGUCUGAAAAAGGAGAGAGGUGGAAAAAGCAGGGGUUUGGGGGUGGGAAGGAGGGUGACAAUGAAGGAGAGCAUGGGAUAAUGCCACAGAAGGCGACUGCGACUUUUUUUUUUUUUUUUUUGAGACGGAGUCUCGCUCUGUCGCGCUGGCUGGAGUGCAGUGGCGCCAUCUCGGCUCACUGCAAGCUCCACCUCCCGGGUUCACGCCAUUCUCCUGCCUCAGCCUCCCAAGUAGCUGGGACUACAGCCGCCCGCUACCACGCCCGGCUAAUUUUUUUGUCUUUUUAGUAGAGACGGGGUUUCACCGUGUUAGCCAGGAUGGUCUCCAUCUCCUGACCUCGUGAUCCACCCGCCUCGGCCUCCCAAAGUGCUGGGAUUACAGGCGUGAGCCACCGCGCCUAGCCAGGAGACUGCGACUUCUAAUACACUUUCAUUUUAGGAUAGGGCCUGACUUGCUUUUACCCAUAAAAAAAAUGCCUCUUAGCAUUUGCCCAAGUUAGAAUGAAUCUGGCCUUGGAGAUAAAGAAGCCAUUGUUUUCAUGUAGAUGUCACGAAGUCUGUCUCUUCUUAACGCUACUUCCUGCCUUGGGAAUUUGGGCAGGGGGAUCACCUAGGUUGGACUAGGCUUGGCUGCUGGUGCCUACCCUGUUGGAUAACCUGGCGAUAAGGAGAGAAGAAAGGGUGGGGCCCAUCCCAGAGUGUUUACCUGUGAUCCCUGCAGAUGUUCCCAGUGGGGGAAGUACUCAUGGACCAUCACACCUUCUUCUCCAAUUCCCUUUAUAUUUUUAUUUAUUUAUUUAUUUAUUUAUUUUUGAGACGGAGUCUCGCUCUGUCGCCCAGGCUGGAGCGCAGUGGCGCGGUCUCAGCUCACUGCACCCUCUGCCUCCCAGGUUCAAGCGAUUCUCCUGCCUCAGUUUCCCGAGUAGCUGGGAUUACAGGUGUGCGCCACCUUGCCUGGCUAGUUUUUUGAAUUUUUAGUAGAGAUGGGGUUUCACUGUGUUAGCCAGGCUCAGGUGAUCUGCCCGCCUUGGCCUCCCAAAGUGCUGGGAUUAUAGGCAUGAGCCACCAUGCCCGGCCCAAUUCCCUUUUUAAAUUUAGAUGUUUAUGGACUUGAUCUCAUUCUACCUGAAAAUAUUUUUAAGGGUGGGAGGUGGAAGCAGAAAGGGAUUUACAGAAAAGAUACAUUUGGUCAUUUAUUUUCUGGCCUACUUAAGAUGUGGUUUUGAAGACAGCAGAGGCCUAUGAUCUGUUGGCUCUCUAGAUGGCUUCCAGCCCUGUGACUCUAUGAUCUAAUAGAAUUUAUAGCAUUAAAUAUUCCAGUAGUGACUUGCAAAGAUUGCUUUGAAGGGAUUACAGAUGGUUCUGUAAGUAUAUACUUUUAGAAGAACAUAAUGCAAUUUGCUUUCUAGCCCAAAGCCCUAAAAAUAAUUAGGUAGGAGUUCAGACAAGUGUUAAAAGACAGUUGUUUCUGGUGAAUCCAAGUGGCUUUUAAAAAAAUCAAUUUCACUUCUCAUCAGAGGAGGGCUUGCAUUUUAGAUUGCUCAUGGUUUGUUGAAUAGCGACGCCCAACGAGCACACUGGCAUUAAAAAAAAGUAAGCAAUGAGAAAAAUUAGUGUGAUAUUCCAAGCUCAAAUUAAGUAUAAUAGAGUGAGGAAAAGAAUUUCAGAAUGCUGGAGUGAGUAAUGUAACUGAGACCUAAGCACUCGCCUUUAGGGAUUCUUACUUGGUCCAAUUGUGACUUUAACAUAUGUCUUCCAUCUGUCUCUGUCUGUUGCCCCUCAUGCCUUGGAAUAGUUCUGGCCCAUCUGGUUUCCUUUCAUGGGAUCCGAGGGAGACUUUCUCAGUGAAGUGCGGGUCAGAGUUCAGUUUUGGCUGCACAUAGAGAGGUGGAGAUCACUCAAGGAGGAAGAGAAGGAACUAAGGACAUGCCAGCAGUGAGGGUCCGGCUGCCAAGGGCUCUCGGGGGUGGGCCCCCGAAGAUAUUUGGCAGGCGAGAGGGAACCAUUCAGGAGCUUUCUUUUCCAUAACUUUUUAUAAUAAAAAGAGCAAAACGUUAACAUAGAAAAACUAGAAAAAACAGAAUAGUAUAAAGAGGGAGACAAACAUCCCUUGUAAUCUUAUCUCUCAUUGUGGGGUUUUCUGUUUUUCUUUUUGGUUAGGGAGAGAUGUGAAAGUGAUACUCUUAGAACAGUAACUUGUUAGAUGGUAGUAGGUGUUAUGGGGCAGGGGGAAAUUCAGUAAGGAGGCAGACUGGGAGUGUAGCAGGGCCCAGGGUGAAGUGGGUGAUCAGGGAAAAGCCCACAGACUGGGGAUUUUUAAAUAAAGAACUGAGGCUGACUGGCCACAGUGGCUCACGCGUGUAAUCCCAGCACUUUGGGAGGCUGAGGCGGGCAGAUCAGUUGAGGCCAGGAGUUCAAGACCAGCCUGGCCAACAUGGCAAAACCCUGUCUCUACUAAAAUUACAAAAGUUUGCUGGGUGUGGUGGCACACACCUGUAAUUCUAGCUACUUGGGAGGCUGAGGCACAAGAAUCGCUUGAACCCAGGAGGUGGAGGUUGCAGCGAGCCAAGAUUGCGCCACUGCACUCCAGCCUGGGCAACAGGAGUGAGACUCUGUCUCAAAAAGGAACUGAGGCUAGGUGCUGUGGCUCAUGCCUGUAAUUCCAGCACUUUGGGAGGCUGAGGCAGGGGGAUCCCUUGAGCCCAGGAGUUAGGGAUCAGCCUGGGCAACAUAGGGAGACCCUGUCUCUACAAAAAAUAACAAUAAUAAAAAAAAUUAGCCAGACAUGGUGAUACUUGCCUGUGGUCCUGACUACUUGAAAAGCUGAGGUGGGAGGAUUGCUUGAUCUGGGAACUCAAAGUUGCAGUGAGCCGAGAUUGCACUACUGCACCCCAGCCUGGGUGACAGAGUGAGACCCUGUCUCAAAAAAAAAAAAAAAAAAAAAGAAUAAAGCAAGACUAAUGGGGUUGAGGAAAUGAGCACUGGUUACCUGGAGGUGGGAGUGUGCCCUUCAAAGGAGGAGGGCGUAAUGGGGAGGAGGGAAGCCCUCAGCUGGCUGCUGUAAGCUGUCGUCUGACUCGGAGAGGGGUGAGGGUGGAAGUGAGCAGAGAAAUGGCACGUCCACAGAAACAGGGAGGUCCGUCCAUUUCCUGGCGCACAUUAGCACCACCUGAGUGGCUUAAAAAAACAGAAGUUUACUUUGGGAGGCCGAGGUGGGUGGAUCACCUGAGGUCGGGAGUUCGAGAUCAGCCUGACCAACAUGGAGAAACCCUGUCUCUAAUAAAAAUACAAAAUUAGCCAGGCAUGAUGGCGCGCGCCUGUAGUCCCAGCUACUCGAGAUGCUGAGGCAGGAGAAUCGCUUGAACUCAGGAGGUGGAGGUUGCAGUGAGCCGAGAUUGCACCAUUGCACUCCAGGCUGGGCAACAAGAGCAAAACUCCGUCUCAAAAAAACAAAAAACAAAACAAAACAGAAGUUUACUUUCUCACAGUUCUGGAGACUGGAAGUCUGAAAUCAAGAUGUCAGUAGGGCGGCUUCCUUCUGGGUUCUUGCAGGCAGGACCUGUCCUGAGCCUCUCUCUCAGCUUCUGGGAGUGGUCAGCAGCCCUUGGCUUGUGGACGCAUUGCUCCACUCUCUGCCCCCGUCCUCAUGUUGCCUCUCCUCUCUUAUUAGAAUCCUUGUCAUUGGAUUUUGGGAUCAUCCUAAACCAGGGUGAUCUCAUUUUGAGAUCCUGAAUUGUAUCUGUAAAGACCCUUUUUCCAAGUAAGGUCACACCCACAGGCUUUGAGCAGAUAUAUCUUUUUGGGAGCUCCCCAUUCAACCCAUUUUAGAAGGUCACCAGGAGGAACCAGUUUCUGGAGGAAGGUGAUAUGUGGUGAUUCUCUACAGUUUCACAGCGCACGUGCCGUCUCAUUCUCCUCAAAAUCUAUGAGUUAGUUUUGCUUCUCUCAGCAACAUCAUCCUGAAAAUGACCUGGCCAUAAAGAGCCAAGUUCAUAACCUUGAACCUUUCCAAGACAUUUCCUCAAAAAGCCACAGCUCUACUGGUGUGUUCCCAUCUUGUGAUCUGCCCUGAUAAAUGACUGAUCCUGGAGGACAGUGCGUGGCCCUGUCACUGUUCUAAGAUAGCCUUUAUUUGAGUGAAUGAAGGGAUAAAUGAAUGGCCAAUUAAAUCUGACCUCUGGCCAGUGUUGAAAUUCAGUGAUCUUCUGAUACAUAAUGUCAGUGGUUCUUAUGCUUUUUUGUGGAGUCAAGGGUGUCCUUGGGAAUAUGAUGGAAAAUAAUGGAUCACUCUUCCCAUACAAUUGUACUUAUUCUCACCCGGGCAUGGUGGCUCACAACUGUAAUCCCAGCACUUUGGGAGGCCGAGGCGGGUGGAUCACCUGAGGUCAGGAGUUUGAGACCAGCCUGGCCAACAUGGUGAAACCCUAUCUCUACUAAAAGUACAAAAAAAUUAGCCAGACGUGAUGGCGCACGCCUGUAAUCCCAGCUACUCAGGAGACUGGGGUAGGAGAAUCACUGGAACCUGGGAGGCGGAGGUUGCAAUGAGCUGAGAUCGUGCCACUGCACUCCAGCCUGGGCAACAGAGUGAGACUCCAUCUCAAAAAGAAAAAAAAAAGUACUUAUUAUAUACAAUUCCUAGGAAUUCCCUGAUAGAGAGUCAACCAGCCCAUGAGAAGGUGGCCACAGAGCAUCUGAAAGUCAUGGCCACAUUUUUCUUAUGAGAACUAGAUGGACCUGAAAUCUUUACCCAGUAAAACUUCCCACCCUAUUUCAUCUCAUGUGGCGUGGCAAAGAAGAUUGGACCUGGAAGUUUUCUAGGGCCCAGUGUGCCAGAGGGCUUAGAGGAGAAAAGAGACUAAACAGAGGGCCUGGUCAGGAGAUGGCAGAUAUAAUCCAGAGGAGAGGCCACGAGGGCUCUGCCACUGGCUCUGGGAAGGUCAAAGCCCACACUCCUUUCUGGAGCUCACUGGGUAAUAAGCUGCCUGCAGCGAGCAAAGGAAAGAGGACUUAAAAAUGACUCCAGGCGUGCAAGCCUCAGAGUCAGGCAAGACCCGCAUGGUAACCUAUAGGAAGAAGGGAACUAUUUUUAUAAGUUCAAUCUGUAGCUUGUUGAAUCUUUAUAAAGUCCAUAUUUAGUUUGCAGUCUUUAAAUUCUAAUCACAGAGCUUAUAGAAAUGAUAGAAAUGAGUAGCAUUUAUAAGCAUUUUGGACUUCCUUCUCAUAGCAAAAAUGGACUUUAAUUGCUGUCAGCUUCAGGUUACUGCUUACCUUUUUCUCUGACAGCCAUUUUUAUUUGUCUUAGGAUCUGCAUUAUAUUAUAUAUAAUUGCGAAAUGAAAGUGUCCUAAAGUUAAAUAAAAUAGCUUUUAAAUGGCACUUACAAACAGUUUCUAUUGAACCCCCAACCUAAAUCAUAAAAGCUUACAACUCUUAAGAGCACUGUGUGAAGAUAGUAUAUUGUGAAACAUUUCAGAUUGUACAGGAUGUGUUUAAGAGGAAAAGGAAGCCCUAUGGGCUUACAGAGGCUUAGGAAUAGAAAGAGAAUGAUAUUUAUGUUUUAAAAUUCUCUCUGUGUGCUUGUGUACAUGUCUAUAUACAGAAAUGCAUAGAAGAAGGGAGGAGGCCCCACAGUGGGAGAGGAGGGAACGUUCCCUUUUCUCCUGUAUGUUCCUGUGUUGUUUGAAUCUUUAAAAUGGAAUAUACUCAGGAAUUACUUGUGAAUCAAAAUUAAAGAAAGAUGGAGGCAAAUCAUCAAGGCCAACACAGCUGGCACAAACAGCCUGAUCCGGGAUGGACAGACUCCCACACCUUUUGGAAAACGAUAUAGGUCAGCUCAUCUUCUUAGGAACACCAUAGUUAGCCUUUGCUUUUUUUGUUAUCUUUUUUUUUUUUUUUUGAGAUGGAGUUUUGCUAUUGUUGUCCAGGCUGGAGUGCAAUGGCACGAUCUCGGCUCACCGCAACCUCCGCCUCCCAGGUUCAAGCGAUUCUCCUGCCUCAGCCUCCCUAGUAGCUGGGAUUACAGGCAUGUGCCACCACGCCCAGCUAAUUUUGUUAUUUUUGGUAGAGAUGGGGCUUCUCCAUGUUGGUCAGGCUGGUCUCGAACUCCUGACCUCAGGUGAUCCACCUGCCUCAGCCUCCCAAAGUGCUGGGAUUACAGGUGUGAGCCACCGCACCUGGCCGCUUUUUUUUUUUUUUUUAUCUUAAGUAAACUUUGUCUUUCUUCUUUUUUUUUUUUUUUUUUGAGAUGGAGUCUUGCUCUGUCGCCCAGGCUAGAGUGCAGUGGCACAAUCUCGGCUCACUGCAACCUCUGCCUCCCAGGUUCAAGCAAUUCUCCCUGCCUUAGCCUCCAGUAGCUGGGAUUACCAGCACCCACCACCAUGCCUGGCUAAUUUUUGUAUAUUUAAUAGAGACGGGGUUUCACCAUGUUGGCCAGGCUGGUCUUGAACUCCUGACCUCAGGUGAUCCACCUGCCUCGGCCUCCCAAAGUGCUGGGAUUACAGGCAUGAGACACUGUGCCUGGCCUGUCUUUAUUUCGGUUGGCAUUUUGAGGAGUAAAAUCAGUGCUUCCUUCAAAGCUUCUCUGCAAGGACAUAGCUGGGUGGUGCCAGGCUGUGCCGGGGUAGUGCUGGGUGAGCCGGCUGGGCUUUCCCACAGGCAGUGCAGUGUGUGGUGGGUUCUUCCAUUUGCUGCUGUCCUCAGAGUGUAAGAACACGUCCAGAGAGCGAGAUACUAAACACCCAAUGACACGGCGAAUGAGCACCCUGCUCUUCCUAAGCUUUUUUGAUAACAAAAUUGAAUAGACCCAAAUAUAACCUGGGUUUGAUGGAUUUUUCCUGCCCCAGUUGUCUCAUCAGCCCUCCCCACGGUCCCGUGAUGCCUGCCCUGCUGCUCAUUUGAUGCAGUUGGAAAAGUCUCAGAGAGGUGAUGGGGGGACACCUCUUGUGUCACCAGGCUUCUAUAGGUACAUUCGUCACCUGGCACUGCAUAACAAAGUACCACAAACUGGAUGGCUUCAAAUGACAGAAAUGUGUUGUCUUACAGUUUUGGAGGCCAGAAGUCCGAAAUCAAGGUGUCAGCAGAGCCAUGUUCCCGGCACUCCUUGAUGUUCCUUGGCCAGCAGCCGCAGCGUUUGGAUCUCUGCCACCCUUGCCACGUGGCCUGCUCCCUGUAUUGGCCUCACACAGCUCCUUUCCUCUUCCAAUAAGGACAUCUAUCACAUUAGAUUAGGGGCACAUUAUCCUGUGAUAUGAUCCCAUCUUAACUCUUUGCAUCUGCCAAGACCCUGUCUCUAAACAGGCCACAUUCAUAGGUCCUGGGCAUUAGGACUUCAACUUAUCUUUUCUGGGGGACACAAUUCAACCCAUAACAACAGGCCAUGGCUGGAAUUUGAGUUUUCAUCUUUCCCUCCCAACAAACCAAACUUAUGUGAUUCACUUUCUCUCCUUACUCCAUUUAAAAAAUAUCAUAGGUAGCCCUUGGUAAAUAACAGCAUUAGGUGUGCCAGAAACUUUCUGAGAAGGGAUGAUCUAGUGGGAGGACCUGGUACCCUGCUGGGGAGCAAUCCUGGAUAGUUACAGGAGAGAGAGAUGUUCCUGCGGAUUUACCACGGGGUGACAUCCUGGCAGGAAGUGGUAGUACCACCCUACUGGCUGCUGUUAAAACAACUUGCUAUUCUUCAUCUGCAGAUUUUGCCAGCCCAUGACAUUACAGUAGCCAUGGCUGAUGUCAUUCAAAAUUCCGCAGGCUUGAAACCUCGUAAAUGUAGUGACUCUGUGUGUGUGUGUGUGUAUGUUUGUGUGUGUGUACGUGUGUGAGUGUGUGUGCUGUGUGUGGGCAGAGUGUAUGCAUGUGAGGCUGAGAUUUAGGUGUGCUGAUGACAUGAGUUGACUGUCUUUUUCAGGACUGAAAUCAAACUAAAGUUUCUACAGAUGUCCCUUGAUAAGGGACACCUUGUAACCUAAAGCCUGGACAUUUGAAGAUUUAGCUAAUUCUAGCUAGGGGUUUUAUGGAAGUGGUUUAAGUGAGUUUCUUCUUUUAGGGAGUAGUAGAACUAGGACUUGUUGUUUCACAGGCCUCUAAUAUGCCCACUGGACACAGGCUUUUUGGCUGUAAACUCUGAGUGCAGAAAGAAAGACAGAAAAAGCUAGAUAAAUGCCGAGCUAUCACUGUCAUCAGGAGCUUGGAGGGAGGUGGAAAAGGCUUACAGAGAGGAGGGAGGGAGAAGAGACAGGAGAGGGACAGAUUGAGGGAGAGGCCUACGCCAACCUGAACUGGGAAGCACAUAGACCAGGGUUCCCCAGGGAUCUGACAUCAAAAGUAGAGUUUCAGUGAAUUAAAAAGAUUAUCGUUUUAACAAAGGCCCAGGAUACGAUUAGAGAUAGCAUAAAAACUGUUUCAGGAAAAGUUCAGAACUAAUAGAAAAGAUUCAGUUAUGUGCUGUAAAGCUAAUGUAAAUUAUUUGCUCAAAAAGUGUAUCAUCUUAAACGGCACUUCCGGCAGCCUAAAACAUAUCUGCACACAUAAAGAUGUGUUUUCCAUCAGACUGUACGUAGUGGUGGCAUCUCUAAUCACCUGGCAAGGAAAAUGAGUGAAAACCACGGAUUCCUUGGAGCUGCCUCCCGGUGACAGCCAUGAUGCUGUUUGUCGGGUCAGAUUCACCAGCUGACUUAGGAGAAAAGUGUGUUUUUGUUUAUUUAUUUUUAACUUUUAAUUUUUUCAAAGUGCAUUCAGACUUUAAUUGCUUUUUAAUUGCGAGAGGAAAGAAAUGUAUUUUUAGAGGUGAGACUGCUGCACUCAUAGUAAGGCUUGGAUAUUAGACUCUCUAGUCUCAGGAAACUAAUCAACUAUUUUCUGUCUCUUUACCUGAUAAACUGAUAAGACAAAAGUAAGUUCUAGAAGUGGAAUUAAAGGAAAACUCAUUAAGAAAUUGCUUGAGAGUUACAGCUAGACAUGCACAGAGGUCUAAAGCUGAAGUAGAAUUUAACGGAAUCCCGAAGCUCCAGGAACGACACUAUCUACAGUGGGACUAGGGUGUGAAACAGCCACAAAUGACACUGUCAGGGUUUCAGGAUCAAUUUAGACAGGUUUCAUUUUUCAGUGACGGUCAUGACGGCAUUUUCAGAGUCAGCUUUAGUAAGUAGAUAAGUCCUUUACAGAUGAAGAGAUACUUUUAAAAUAUGGCCAAUAUUAUUAUCAUUAAUAUACUAAUUCAAUAAUGAAAAUUUUUUGAGUAGUUGCUAAAUGCUGUACACUGCUAAGCAUGCAUUUUCAGUACGUGUGAUUUCUAGAAUGCUUGCUUUUUAAAUAAUAAUUUUCUUUCAUUCAAAGAUAAAGAUUUCUUUCAAAAAGCCUAUCUGAUUUUAUAAUAGAAGGAUUUAUUUAGCAGAAAUUCAUAUUAAGGAAACUAAAAUAUUCUAAUCCGUCAGGUGAGAUAUGUCUAUACUGAGAAGAAGAUAUUAAUAUGCACCAAAGCAGCAAGAAUGCUUGCUUGAAAUCCAAUAAUUUUUUGAUACCCAGUACAUGAGCUUAAGUCACCAAAUAUUUAAAAAAAUUUUUUUAAGUGUAAUUAUUUCUUAAGGAAACUCCUAAGAAAUCUUUGCAAGGCAGAGACUCUAUUUUAAUCUUCUUUGUAUCACCCGUGGCACCCAGCUCAGAGCUUAGAAUGUAAAACAUGCUCAAAAAAUAUUCUUUGAAGGAAUGUUUGAUUUGGGAAUCCAAACCUGACAGUGGCAUUUAUUUACCUGUAGUCAUCAAUGCUUGCUAUUUUAAAGCGGCAUUUUUUUUCCUGCCUUCAGUGAUAAUUAAUGCUCAGCUCAGACUGCAGGGUUUGAAUGAAGAAAUCUGAACAAUAGCUAGACAAGACAAAGCCUGUGAAAUCUUAUGCAGGCUUCUCUAUUAAUGUGGUUUAGAAUGAUAUGUUAGGAGCACUGUAUACCAGAAGAAUAUUGAUUGCAUUUCAGAUAAUGCAAUUUACAGUUAAUAAGAUGGUUAGGCUGGUCCAGGGAAAUAUUUGUUUUCUUCAACAAUGUUAGGCAGAAAACAUACAUUUUAAUAAAUACUACAUGAGAACAAUCCUUUUGGGUGAAUUUCAAGGAAACAAACAGACUACCAUAUGGCUACACAUUGGUGGAUUUUCACAUUUCUAAAAUCUGGAUAAAUGUAUUAUCAGUAAUACUUUGCUUUACAAAUAGAUUUGUUUGAAUUAUUCUUGCUUUAGUACCAGAAACCUUUGCUGACAUUUUGUAUGUAACGUUUAAUAUCUAAGGAUGAUAGUUCUAGGACAGAAUAUAUAAUGUGAUCACAUUUGUUUUUAAAAAAAUACACACACACACACACACACACACACACACACACACACACACGCAAACUCUGGAAGACUAGACCCCAGGUUUCAUAGGGGUUAUGGUGAAGAACAGGGCAGAGUGAGAUUAUAGGGUAUUUUUACUUUUAGAGUUAAAUAUUUCUGUGACAUUUGAAUUUUUAUAAUAAGUAUGUAUUGUUUUUGAAAUCAGAAAAAGAUAUAUUAAUUUAUGGGGCUGACACUGAUGAUGUUGACAGUCAAAAUAGUAUUGCAAAGAGCCUGAAAAUAAUCUAGCUGCAGAAUCAUCUACCAAAACUGAUUCCUGCCUGCAUGUACAAGGUGGAUGCUGCAGCAUUGCUCAGAGUGGCCACAGAUCUGCCACUCCUUGAAAGUCCAUCAUCAGAGGGAGAGAAAGAGGAAGUAUGAAGGCGUAUCUGUCUGCAUAGACUAGGAAAAUCUGGCAGAGGAUGAGAACCUAGUAACUCUAAAGUCACUGGGGGCUGUGAUUUUUCAAUUUGGUACCAUGUGCUUGGUCCACAUGUUAAAAAAAUUGGGCGGCCAGGGGUGGUGGCUCACGCCUGUAAUCCUAGCGCUUUGGGAGGCCAAGGCGGGCAGAUCAUGAGGUCAGGAGUUCGGGACCAGCCUGGCCAACAUGGUGAAACCGCAUCUCUACUAAAAAUACAAAAAGUUAGCUGGGCAUGGCGGCAGUCGCCUGUAAUCCCAGCUACUCGGCAGGCUGAGGCAGGAGAAUCACUUGAACCUGGGAGAUGGAGGUUGCAAUGAGCCGAGACUAUGUCAUUGCACUCCAGCCUGGGCAACAGAGCCAGACUGUCUCAAAAAAAAAAAAAAAAAAAGACAAGUGUGGUGGCUCACGCCUGUAAUCCCAGCACUUUGGGAGGCCAAGGCGGUCGGAUCACAAGGUCAAGAUUUCGAGACCAGCCUCGCCAUCAUGGUGAAACC
Molecule: long non-coding RNA, 23311 nt
Filed under: Homo sapiens (human)
Lineage: Eukaryota; Metazoa; Chordata; Mammalia; Primates; Hominidae
Description: non-protein coding lnc-EZH2-5:2
Source: RNAcentral